AUGGAUCCCUCGCCCGAUCCGCUCGCCGCCUCCGCCCCAUUCCCCACCAUCCCCGCCGCCACCCACAGGUCGCGGGUCGCCCGCCCGCGGCGCCAGGCCGCCCCCUUUCGUUCCGACCACCCCGGAGCCUCCUGCUCCCCCAGCCGGCGCCUCGGCGGCGAUCUCUCGAGCUUCGCUGCGGGCGCUGGCUCGCGACCGAGCACCGCAGGCGGAUCACGCCCCUCGGCCUUCGUCUUCGGCGCGGAAACGUCUAGCCGCGCCGUCGCGGAGGAUCCGGCGUCGGCGGGCUCAUGGGGUUCUUCCCGUGGCGCUAAUUUUGUUUUUGGGAGUGGCGUCUCGGCGAGAUCGGAGAUGAAGAGAUGCUCCUCGGUUAGAUCCGGUGCUGCCUCGUUGUGCAGCCUCUCUACAGCAGCCGAUGAGCUUGUACAAGAUGAUUCUUCCGGCAAGCAAAGAGAUGACCGUGCUCACGUUUCUAGAGGAAAUGAUUCCGUGCUGGAGAUAAAUUCUCGGGGUACUUUUGGUGCCUCGGAAAGCAAUUUGAAGUCACAUGAGGUUUUUCGUCCGCGCAUUCUUCAUGGUGUUGCCAAGCAGCGCGAUGAGGGGCGUAGCAUGCUCUCUCAGACGGUAGGGUGCAAGAGUACGGAAAUAAAUUCAUCAUUAGUUGGUCAAGUGGUCAAUGCAACAAAAUGUACUGACAGGAAUGACUCCAUGGAAGUCCCCGUGGACUGUGGUAACUCAUCCGUAGGAGAUUCUGUCGGUAAAGUUUACUUCACAAAGGAUGGAAGCAAACUUUCUGCAACUGGUGUUAAUGUCAAACAUGAUUUGUUUGUUUUCGGGGGACCUGCUAGUGCUCAACAUAGUCUGUUCGCUGCAAAUACAGAGCAAAGUAAUUUCAAGAAGUUGGAUUCAUCUGAUAAAGAGGAGGUAACAUGCAGUUCUGAACAACUUGGUCUUUCAGAACAUUCCAGACUUUGUCAAGUCCAUGAAACAGAAAAAGCCUCGAAAACUGCACCUUUUAGCAUUGGAGCUCAAGAUGACAUUGUGAAGGCUUCUUUCACAAAGUUGCCUGAUGGUAUGCAAACACAAGUAGGUGCAGCAUCGGGACUUGGUGAAUGUCGAUCUUUCGAUGAGAGAUCAUUUACUCUACAGGACCACAAUUCAGCAUCUGGAGACAAGGGAGUGAUUAAGGCUAUGAGCAUGAAUAGAAGGGCAGUUAAACCAAAGAAGUUUUCCUCAACCCGUCAGGUUUCUUCAUUGCGGAAUGUCCUUGCAGCUGACAGUUUUUCUGGAAAAGUGACUCCGGAAACAAACUUUAGUAUGGAACAAUCUGGAAAAGUUGGCCUCAGGUUAGAGGGUUCUGUUAACAGUGGCCCAGAGGUAGCUGAUGCUACGCAAACAGCAGAAAGUAGCCAUGAUGGAACUGGGCUUACUUUUGCAGCAAACUUGGAAAGUUGUGGUAACUCUGACUUAAUAUUUGCUUCAUCUACUUUCGAUCGAAGUAAUUUGGGCUCACAAAGACAACAGAAUAGAAGUUCUGAAGGAAUGACGACUCAUACUAACUUUGUUCAAAGCCUUCCUACAUCUGCCAUUAGUUUUGCACACACAAAAGUUUCAGCAAGCCAGCCAGACACAGUUUUAGCGCCUCAAUGGACCGAAUACAGCAAAGCAGAAUCUACAGUAGUAACAUGUCCAAAAACAGGAAACUUUAGAUAUCAGGAGGAUUGUGAAACUUGGCGUAUAAGGGGGAACCAAGCUUAUGCUGCAGGACAGUUAGCUAAGGCGGAGGAAUGCUAUACCCAUGGGAUUAAUUCUGUUUCUCAAAAUCAAGCUUCUCAGAAAGCAUUAAUGCUGUGCUACAGCAAUCGUGCAGCUACCCGGAUAUCUCUCGGUAGGAUGAGAGAUGCCCUCUCUGAUUGUCAGAAAGCUACUGAAAUUGAUUCCAGCUUUCUCAAGGCACAAGUCAGAGCUGCCAAUUGUCUACUUGCUCUGGGGGAUGUCGACGAAGCACAAAAGGGUUUUGAAAUCUGUUUGAAGUCUAAUCAUGCGGCAAGCUUGGAUCGUAAAGUCAUAGAAGAGGCUUCUGAUGGUCUACAAAAAGCUCAGAAAGUAUCCACUUUCAUGCUUCAAUCCAAGGAAUAUCUUGUUAAAAAGGAAUUUGACAAGAUACCAAGUGCCUUACAAAUGAUCACAGAUGCUUUGUCCAUAAGCAUUCAUUCAGAUAACUUGAUGAAAAUGAAAGCAGAAGCCCUGUUACUGUUGCGGCGAUAUGAAGAAUUAAUUCAGUUUUGUGAAGAAACUCUGCAACUGGCAGAAAGAAAUAGUGUGCCUCUGUGUCUUGAUGAGCAUCUAGAAAACAUUAACUUGGACAGCUACGGGUUUUCUGUGAAAUCUUGGCGCUAUUAUCUUAUCGCCAAGUCAUAUUUCUUCAUAGGAAAACUUGAAGAGGCUCAUCAGUUCUUGAAAAAGUACGAGCAAACAACACCUGCAGAAUACAAGUGCGGGAAGCAGUCUCAACAAUCAGUUUCAUUACUUUCGAAGACAAUCUCUGAACUACUGCGUCUUAAAGUUGCUGGGAAUGAAGCUUUUCAAGCUGGUAAAUAUUCAGAGGCUGUGGAACAUUAUACUGCUGCUUUGUUGAGCAACGCGGAGUCAUUACAUUUUUCAGCAAUCUGUUUUGGCAACCGUGCGGCUGCAUACCAAACAAUGGGCCAAAUUUUAGAUGCCAUAGCAGAUUGUUCGCUAGCUAUAGCCCUUGACACUAGCUAUUGUAAGGUUAUUUCUAGAAGGGCUAGUUUGUAUGAACUUAUAAGGGACUACGAUCAGGCAGAAAAUGAUCUUCGAAGACUAAUUUCUCUUCUUGAGGAACAACUACAAGAAAAUAUGUCCAUGCCAUCAGAAAAAUUAGAUAAUGUUCGUAACAAUCUACACCGAGCCAAUCUUAGGCUUUCUGCUUUGGAGCGUGAUGCCAGAAAAAGGACAUCACUGAAUAUGUAUCUGAUAUUAGGAAUUGAGCCAUCCUGCUCUGCUGUGGAUAUAAAAAGAGCAUACCGCAAAGCAGCAUUAAGGCAUCAUCCAGACAAAGCAGGUAAUUUUCUCGUGAGAAGUGAAAAUAUCGAUGAUACAGUAUGGAGCGAAAUUGUGAAUGCGAUCCGCAGAGAUGCUGAUUAUUUGUUCAAAAUAAUUGGGAAAGCAUAUGCUAUACUUUCGGACCCUACCAUGAGACCGCUGUUUACGGCAGUUUCAGCAAAAUUAAUACUGAAGUAUCAAUCAAUUAACUUAAGAAACUCGAACCUCCAAGGUAAGUUCUUAGAAUUCUGUGUGGAGCCGUGGACUCAAAGGAGUCUGUAUGGUUUGCCUGGGUGGGAAUCUGAACUUGAAAGUGGAAUCAAGUUUAUGGGGUAA
This 3402-nucleotide ribosomal RNA is filed under the name Triticum aestivum (bread wheat). RNAcentral's name for it is "partial small subunit ribosomal RNA". The record is from RNAcentral. Lineage: Eukaryota; Viridiplantae; Streptophyta; Magnoliopsida; Poales; Poaceae.